Arabidopsis lyrata subsp. lyrata is the source of this 334-nucleotide long non-coding RNA. RefSeq lists it as uncharacterized. The record is from RefSeq and is a predicted model, not a curated record. NCBI's taxonomy places the organism in Eukaryota, Viridiplantae, Streptophyta, Magnoliopsida, Brassicales, Brassicaceae. The transcript is spliced from 2 exons.
GCUUUCGCCUUUGCAGACUCAGCUACUCUUCUGCUCUCCCUGUAGAUUCCAAGCUCCUUCCCUGACUUAUGCAAAUCCUCCACAACCGAAGAAGACUGGUGAGUGAGAUGUUAGAGGAAGAGAAAGGUUGAUGUUGUUGUGUGUUGCAGAGAAUAAACGGAAGAGAAGAAGGAGAUGAUGAUGAUUGGUUCACGUUGCCUCUGUUUUUUCUUAUCAUUUUGUUCUGUUUGGGAAAAGUUUAGAGAGAAUUUAUGAAAGUUUUGUUUCUUCUGAGUAUUGUAUGUGAGGCCAAGGAUACCACAAGUAGCAUAAACAUAUAUGACAUAUUGUGACA